UUGAAGGAAAUGGAGGCGGAGAUGGC
RNAcentral lists this non-coding RNA (26 nucleotides) under Homo sapiens (human). The record is from RNAcentral. Lineage: Eukaryota; Metazoa; Chordata; Mammalia; Primates; Hominidae.